This 440-nucleotide ribosomal RNA is filed under the name uncultured bacterium. RNAcentral's name for it is "partial 16S ribosomal RNA". It matches the Rfam family "Bacterial small subunit ribosomal RNA", at positions 338 to 795 of the family's 1533-position model. The record is from RNAcentral.
CCUACGGGUGGCAGCAGUGGGGAAUAUUGCACAAUGGGGGAAACCCUGAUGCAGCGACGCCGCGUGAGUGAAGCAGUAAUUCGUUAUGUAACGCUCUAUCAGCAGGGAAGAAAAUGACGGUACCUGAGUAAGAAGCCCCGGCUAACUACGUGCCAGCAGCCGCGGUCAUACGUAGGGGGCAAGCGUUAUCCGGAUUUACUGGGUGUAAAGGGAGCGUAGACGGCAGUGCAAGUCUGGAGUGAAAGGCGGGGGCUCAACCCCCGGACUGCUCUGGAAACUGUCCGGAUGGAGUGCAGGAGAGGUAAGUGGAAUUCCUAGUGUAGCGGUGAAAUGCGGAGAUAUUAGGAGGAACACCAGUGGCGAAGGCGGCUUACUGGACUGUAACUGACGUUGAGGCUCGAAAGCGUGGGGAGCAAACAGGAUUAGAUACCCCAGUAGUC